AUACGUAGAGGGCGAGCGUUGUCCGGAAUCACUGGGCGUAAAGGGUACGCAGGCGGAAAUACAAGUCAAAUGUGAAAGGUACCGGCUCAACCGGUGAAAUGCAUUUGAAACUGUAUAUCUUGAGUAUAGGAGAGGAGAGCGGAAUUCCUGGUGUAGCGGUGGAAUGCGUAGAUAUCAGGAAGAACACCAGUGGCGAAGGCGGCUCUCUGGCCUACAACUGACGCUCAUGUACGAAAGCUGGGGGAGCGAACGGGAUUAGAUACCCCGGUAGUCCCAGCCGUAAACGAUGGACACCAGGUGUUGGGGGUUCGAAUCCUUCAGUGCCGCAGUUAACGCAAUAAGUACCCCGCCUGGGGAGUACGGCCGCAAGGUUGAA
RNAcentral lists this ribosomal RNA (376 nucleotides) under uncultured bacterium. RNAcentral describes it as "bacterial SSU rRNA". It matches the Rfam family "Bacterial small subunit ribosomal RNA", at positions 523 to 898 of the family's 1533-position model. The record is from RNAcentral.